Molecule: RNA transcript, 4980 nt
Organism: Felis catus (domestic cat)
Lineage: Eukaryota; Metazoa; Chordata; Mammalia; Carnivora; Felidae
Gene: CA3H20orf173
Gene name: chromosome A3 C20orf173 homolog
Exons: 10
Source: RefSeq, a predicted model, not a curated record
CCCCACCCCUCGCCGGUGUUCUCAGGUCCCACCCUCCCCUCCAGCGGUCGGGUGCUGAGGGCUGCGGAGUUUAAACGCAGUUGUCGGGGGUGGGAGCCACUCCCACCCUGUGGGCGGUCUUCCGUGGACCAGGUACCUGGAGGCGUGGUUGCCCCGCAGAAACCGUAAGAGCCCCAUUUGCUUAUGUUGACCGAAGAACUGCGCCAAGAACCUCACAUGAGAUUCUUGGAACAACUUGGAACCUCCUAGAACAGUGACUUUCAAAGCGUCCCCAACCAGCAACCUCAUCACCUGGGCACUGGUUAAAAAUGCGUUUUAUGGGGCCCCACCACAGACUUGCUGAAUCAGAAACUCUAGGAGUGGCUCCCAGGUGAUUUCCUGCAGUUAAGUUUGAGAAUCACCGCUACAGAAAGUGGCCAAGGAGACCAAGACACUGACUAGUUAGAGACUUCACUCUUCAUAAUGUCAGGCUUUAUACUGAUGCUUCAACCUUCUCCGUCAAGUGGGAUCCUUCAACCUUUGGAGCAAGUGGGGCCUAUACUGGACUCAUUCACUGCACAUGGGGCUGCACUGGUCCCCUGCAGCUACAGCCUACAAGCCCAACCAGAGAAGAGGAAGUUUUCAGGCCCUUUCAUUAGUUCCGUCUGCCCUGUCACAGUCUUCUUUUACCUUAUAUCCACACUGAUAAACUUUCCCUAAUUGUUAAAGAAAUAAAUAUAUUUGCAGAUGUUACAUGUUCUUCUUUCCCAGUGCAGAUGGACCAAUUUUCUCUUGGGAGAAAUACGGGGACCUUGGUGUAUCUGGAUUGAAAAUAAUAAUCACAGUUAGAAAUCCCACUACUCACCCUGAGAAGGAAGAAUCAUAAUAUAGCUGUGUCAGUGGGUCUCAGAGUCCAAUUAGAAGAGGUUCUUAUAGACUUUAAUAAUACUGAGGUCAGGGAAUGAACCCUAAGAUGAAUGCCAUUUAAAUUGAGACUUGAAAGGGAAGAAACCAGACAGGUGAAGUACUGAGUGGGAGGGAGCAAUGUGUUCCAGGAAGAGGAAUUGCAAGUGCAAAGGUCCUGGGGUGAGAUAGAACUUGGAAAGUUCUAGAAACAAGAAAAAGCCAGAAUGGCUGAAAACUGUGAGAUGAGUGAGAAUUUUGGAUUUUAUUCUGUAUGGAUUUUAUUCUGAUACCAUUUUAAGGAUUUAAGCAGGAAAUUAAUUUAAGAUCAUGUCAGUUGCUAGCUGAAGAAUGGGUGAGGGAUGGAUAGAACAGAAGCAGAUAUACCAGUUAGGAUGCUAUUGCAGGUUGUAGGAGGAAAACACAAGCUUUUCUUUAGAAAACAAAAAUAUAAUUAGAAAAUGAUUUUCCAUUUUAAUAAAGGAAUUGGGGUUUUUUUUCUUUUUUUCCUGUAAAAUACUUUUCUGGCUAGAUCGAUCUAUUAAGCUAAGAUAGUGGUUCUUAAAGUGUGGUCCCUGGACCAGCAGCAUUGUCAUUACCUGAGAAUUUGUUAGAAAUGAAAAUUCUCAGGCACACCCCAGAAAAACCAAAUGAGAGACUGUGGGGAUGAGGCUCAGCAUUCUGUGUUUUUAUGAAGCUCUCCAGGUGAUUCUGAUGCAUACUCUUGUUUGAGAAGCACUGGGCUAAGAGUCCCAAGCAAAUUUUUUUAUUUGCAUUCUGGUGCAACCCACAUAAGGAAGGCUCUUCUUUCAAUAUUUGUAAAACAUUAUUUAUAUAAUUACAUAAGUCACAAAACAGUUACCAGUGUGAAAGCUAAUUAUAAAGGUUCUAGUUCAGAACACCUGGUUGGCACAGUUGGUUAAGUGUCCAACUCUUGAUUUCAGCUCAGGUCAUGAUCUCACGGUUCGUGAGAUCUGCACUGACAGUGCAAAGCCUGCUUGGGAUCCUCCCUCUCCCUCUUUUUCUGUCCCUCCCCCUCCCGUGUUCUCUGUCUCUCUAAAAAUAAAUCAAUAAACAUUUUUCAAAAAAUGCAAAAAUAAAGGUUCUAGUUUCAGUAAUAUGUAGACUUAAUCCUGGAAACCUUCCUGGUGAAAAACAUCUUGAAAUGCUAAAUAACAAUGAUCUCUUUGAACAUAUAGCUGACUCAUGAAAAAUUAAGGGAAAUUCCCAGGGGCUAAAAUUGAAAGAGUUAAAGAAAGCAGGGUCACCUGGGUGGCUCAGUAUUUUAGUUCCCUCUCAACUCCGUUCACGUAUCCCAUAAAUAUUUUUUAAAUGAUUCUAAGUCCCCAUUCUCAUAGAUCUUAUGUUUAGUGUAGGUCGCUGCUGUAUUCCAGACAGGAUAGAGUGGCAGCUUUGCCCAGGUAGGCGACAAGAGGGAGGUCACAAUGUGUACGUUGUGAUGACAUCUGUGGAGUAACUGGUGGCAUGGAGAACCCCACUGAGAGCUAAGCCUUCCUCCUGUGGGGAGGAUACGGGACCCGCCAUAAGUUAUCUCUCUGUCCCUGCAUCUGCCAUCCUAGGGCCAGCCAGAGUCCUCUUUGGAGGACAUGAACUCAGCAAGUGGUUUUGGCAAAAUGUGGAAAAAGGUGUUCAAGGGGAUUCCCAGACUCUCAGUGAGCCAUUUCCAUUUCUACUGUGGGACUUGUACUUUGGUGGGGAACUCCAAGAUCCUGCGGGCCUCCGGCCUUGGCAACAAUAUCAACCAGUGGACCCUAGCCUUCGGAAUGAACCAGGGCCCUGUCCAGAGCAUUGAAAAGGUGGGGAACCAAACCAUAGGAUGCUUCAUCUAUCCUGGGAAUGCCAGCAGCCAGGGCUCUUGGAGACAGCUGCUGCUUCUGCUGCUGCUGCUGCUGCUGAAGCUUUCUGGUCUGGUGUGGACUUCAGAUGCUCCAAGUGAGGAGGGUGCCUACUUUGGAUUUGGAUCAGAAAAGCAAAGAAAGGGGUACAAUGACUGUUAAUCAGACCAAUGAUUACAAGGAGAUUUUGUCCAUACAGAGCAUGGAAGCAGAAAUGGAAGUCAGCUACAGUGUGUUGGGCAAGCUCACUGUCCACACGUGACACCCUGCAGAGUUCAUGCAAGUCCUAGUCCUUUGGACCUCAACAAAGCAGCAGUUUGUUUCUGUUUCUGAGACCAAGAAUUCCAACUAACACAGAUAACAAGGAUCAAACAUCACACUUCUGCCAACAGCACUGGAGUCUGGAAGAUGAUGGAAUAUGCCAUCAGGCUCUGGAGCUACUUUUGCAACCUAGGAUCUUUUACACCCAGCCAAACUAUCAAUCAAGCCUAAGGACAUUGUGGUCUCCAGGGCUCCCAUAACAAAUUAGCACAAAAUAGGAUGAACCAGGCCCCUGUCCAAGGCUUUGAGAUGGAUGUGGGGAACAAAACCACCAUGCGCAUUAUGUACCCUGAGAUGGCUAGCACACAGGAUCCUGGCACCCAACUGCUGCUGCUUCCUCUGAAUUCAUCUGGUCUAAAGUGGUUUAUGGAAGUGCUGCGGGAACAGAGCUUCAGAAGCCCAGUAAACCCUGGCUUUCAGAUAGUCCAGGUCCCCCAGUGGAAGUAGCAAGAGCAAAGACAAGGUCUUGGUGAUCAGCCUCAACUUUCUCCAGUAUGUCCAGCAUUGUUGGCUGGGGAAACACAGUUGGUUUCCAUCCUUGGGGUUCGUGGGUUUGUUGUAUGCCCUGCACACAUGUGACCAGGCACUGAUGCUAGGAGACCUAACCCCAUUCCAGCUGGCCAAGGAGGAACUUUUCAGCUGAACCCCACAGCAAAGCCCUGAGACCCACCCAUGCCAGUCCUGUGCUAUGCAACGUGGAACUCGGGGAAUCUGAAGUCUUCACAAUAUGGAGUAUCCACUGAGGAGCACCACCUGUGCUCAGUGGGGGCAAGAGGGUGAGGGUGGUGAGCAGUGCCAGCCUGUGAGCCCCAAAGCCUUCCUGACUUCCUUUCCUAUCUCUGCAGAAUGAACCAGGCCCCAGUUUUAGGUCCAGAAAACAACAAAGGCAACAAACAGAAUCUACCUGCACAUAAUGCACCUGAGAGUGCCCAUGACCUGGAGAGAAUAUCCACACACUGCUGGUGUUGUCGCAGCCACCAGAUAUAGGGUGGACUGUAGUGGUCUUGAGCCAAGGUGGAAAAGGGCAUCUUUUACCAGGUGGUGUGAGGGUGGAGGCCCCAGGCCUGGAGCAGACAGCCCUGGCUUUUUGGUGUAAAUGUUGAUCUUGUCAUCACUCUGCAGUGUGUGACUGUAUACUCCCCACCUCCCUAACCUACAACCAGUAUUUCCUUCUCUACUUCAUGCUUUUCUGCCUUCACGCUUCUACUAGUCCCGUGUAGGGAAGCAUAUGAGUCAAGGUAAUUAAAUUGUGCUCUGGUGAUCGUUGCUGUAACAUGCAAACUAUGGAGGCUCACUGAGAGAAUGGGGUGCCGCACCCGGCAGACCCAGGCACUCCCUAGGAACAUUGCCCAGACUCUGACUCAGCUCUUGUCCUCUUCGACUCUCAAGACUUUCUGUUCUGUAGCAGCCUCUAGCAAAGGAGGGGCUGGAACAGAGGAGAAGUUUUGUGAAAGGAGGCCUUUGACCUCAGCUCUGACUUUUCCCCCCAGAUUCUGGUGACCAACUUCAUCAUCCUCAAGUGCAUCCACGAGACCUCGCUGGUCAGAGACAUUUCCCAACCACCAGAUUCGCUGUGGCAUGUGGGGUGGAGAAGGAAAGGAAGGUCUGGCCUGAUGCCUUUAGGCAAGGUUGGGUCCUGCCUAGAAGAUCCACACUCUUCUCUAAGCUAGAGAACCAGAGGUGAAGGACCAAAAAGUAAGGAACCAAGAGAAGUCCUGUUUGUCCUUGAGAACUCCUAGCACAGGAAAGGCCAGAUGAGGAUUCUGAGCCACAGGGAAUCUGAGUAGAGGCAGGGUCCAGGCCAGCAUCUCUGGGGCUCCAGAUACAAUUCUGGGGAGCUCUAAGCUGUAACUUUUUACUAAGUAUCUGUUGCUGAGUCCCAUGCCAUGAAUUUUUAGAACAAAACUUCAGCAGUGGUGAA